This 319-nucleotide long non-coding RNA is filed under the name Phoenix dactylifera (date palm). RNAcentral describes it as "long non-coding RNA (PDAC_LNC001790)". Lineage: Eukaryota; Viridiplantae; Streptophyta; Magnoliopsida; Arecales; Arecaceae. The record is from RNAcentral.
UAAAGCUUCUCCUCCUCCUCUUCUUAUUGAUCGCAGCUUCCGGAGAGAAGCGGGGAGAGAAGGUGGGCGCCGCGGGCCGCGAGGAGGGACUCGAACGGUUGUUUGAUCUGGGCUCAAAGCGGCAGCCUCGGUACUCCGCUGGGGCUCUACUGCGGAAUAGCGAGCGCAGAGUUCCCCACGCCUCCGACCCCCUCCAUAAUCGCUAACUUGAUGGCUCCUUUGUUCUUCCUCCCCGCCAAAGUCCUGACCUUGUUUUUGUUUGUCUGGCAACUGUUAUAAAUUAAGAUGCACAUAUAUGCGACAUGGUGUGAUAUUAUAU